UAGUCCACGCCGUAAACGAUGAUUACUCGCUGUAGGCGAUACACAGUCUGUGGCUAAGCGAAAGUUUUAAGUAAUCCACCUGGGGAGUACGAUCGCAAGAUUGAAACUCAAAGGAAUUGACGGGGGCCCGCACAAGCGGAGGAACAUGUGGUUUAAUUCGAUGAUACGCGAGGAACCUUACCUGGACUUAAAUGUAGAUUGCAUAGAGUGGAGACAUUCUUUUCUUCGUACUAUUUACAAGGUGCUGCAUGGUUGUCGUCAGCUCGUGCCGUGAGGUGUCGGGUCAAGUCCCAUAACGAGCGCAACCCUUAUCCUUAGUUGCCAUCAUUUAGUUGGGCACUCUAGAGAAACUGCCGGUGACAAACCGGAGGAAGGUAAGGAUGACGUCAAGUCAGCAUGCCCCUUACGCUCUGGGCUACACACGUGCUACAAUGGUCGUGACAAAGAGUUGCUAGUCUGCGAAGGCAAGCCAAUCUCAUAAACGCGGCCUUAGUUCGGAUUGC
RNAcentral lists this ribosomal RNA (503 nucleotides) under uncultured bacterium. RNAcentral's name for it is "bacterial SSU rRNA". It matches the Rfam family "Bacterial small subunit ribosomal RNA", at positions 791 to 1301 of the family's 1533-position model. The record is from RNAcentral.